Non-coding RNA from Salmo salar (Atlantic salmon), 160 nucleotides. The record is from RefSeq and is a predicted model, not a curated record. NCBI's taxonomy places the organism in Eukaryota, Metazoa, Chordata, Actinopteri, Salmoniformes, Salmonidae.
AAGUGUCACAUACUACGUCACUGAUUCUCCUACACCAUCCCAAAGUAUCCAAUCCUGUAACACUCUGUGUGGUGUAUUACUGGGCUUCAUCAUAGCGAUUCUAAUCACAUGUGGAUAUCUCUACUGGAAAUGCAGACAGCGGGAGGACAUGACCUUAGGA